This 113-nucleotide ribosomal RNA is filed under the name Acanthosepion pharaonis. The record is from RNAcentral. Lineage: Eukaryota; Metazoa; Mollusca; Cephalopoda; Sepiida; Sepiidae.
UAUGGCCACAUCACAUUGAAACACUGGUUCUUGUAUGGUCAUUGAAGUUAAGCAAAAUUGAGCCUGGUCAGUACCUAGAUAGGUGACUACUUGGGAAUACUAGGUGCUGUAAG